GUGGAUUAGAUACCCUAGUAGUCCACGCCGUAAACGAUGAGCGCUAGGUGUUGGGGGUAUUGACCCCCCCAGUACCGCAGCUAACGCGUUAAGCGCUCCGCCUGGGGAGUACGGCCGCAAGGCUAAAACUCAAAGGAAUUGACGGGGGCCCGCACAAGCGGUGGAGUAUGUGGUUUAAUUCGACGCAACGCGCAAAACCUUACCUGGGUUAAAUCCACUCGAACCUGCCAGAAACGGUGGGGUGUCUUCGGAAGCGAGUGAGAAGGUGCUGCACGGCUGUCGUCAGCU
RNAcentral lists this ribosomal RNA (288 nucleotides) under uncultured bacterium. RNAcentral describes it as "partial 16S ribosomal RNA". It matches the Rfam family "Bacterial small subunit ribosomal RNA", at positions 773 to 1060 of the family's 1533-position model. The record is from RNAcentral.